This 460-nucleotide ribosomal RNA is filed under the name uncultured bacterium. Its description in RNAcentral is "partial 16S ribosomal RNA". It matches the Rfam family "Bacterial small subunit ribosomal RNA", at positions 338 to 795 of the family's 1533-position model. The record is from RNAcentral.
CCUACGGGUGGCUGCAGUGAGGAAUAUUGGUCAAUGGGCGUAAGCCUGAACCAGCCACGUCGCGUGAGGGAUGAAGGUUCUAUGGAUCGUAAACCUCUUUUAUAAGGGGAUAACGUGCGGGACGUGUCCCGUUUUGUAUGUACCUUAUGAAUAAGGAUCGGCUAACUCCGUGCCAGCAGCCGCGGUAAUACGGAGGAUCCGCGCGUUAUCCGGAUUUAUUGGGUUUAAAGGGUGCGUAGGCGGCCUUUUAAGUCAGGGGUGAAAGGCUGUGGCUCAACCACAGAAUUGCCUUUGAUACUGGGGGGCUUGAGUAUGUUUGAGGUAGGCGGAAUGCGUGGUGUAGCGGUGAAAUGCUUAGAUAUCAUGCAGAACCCCGAUUGCGAAGGCAGCUUGCCAAGCUAUGACUGACGCUGAGGCACGAAAGCGUGGGGAGCAAACAGGAUUAGAUACCCGUGUAGUC